AGUGAACGCUGGCGGUAGGCCUAACACAUGCAAGUCGAACGGCAGCACAGUAAGAGCUUGCUCUUACGGGUGGCGAGUGGCGGACGGGUGAGGAAUACAUCCGAAUCUACUUUUUCGUGGGGGAUAACGUAGGGAAACUUACGCCAAUACCGCAUACGACCUACGGGUGGAAGCAGGGGAUCUUCGGACCUUGCGCGAUUGAAUGAGCCGAUGUCGGAUUAGCUAGUUGGCGGGGUAAAGGCCCACCAAGGCGACGAUCCGUAGCUGGUCUGAGAGGAUGAUCAGCCACACUGGAACUGAGACACGGUCCAGACUCCUACGGGAGGCAGCAGUGGGGAAUAUUGGACAAUGGGCGCAAGCCUGAUCCAGCCAUACCGCGUGGGUGAAGAAGGCCUUCGGGUUGUAAAGCCCUUUUGUUGGGAAAGAAAAGCAGCAGGUUAAUACCCCGCUGUUCUGACGGUACCCAAAGAAUAAGCACCGGCUAACUUCGUG
This 492-nucleotide ribosomal RNA is filed under the name uncultured bacterium. RNAcentral's name for it is "partial 16S ribosomal RNA". It matches the Rfam family "Bacterial small subunit ribosomal RNA", at positions 29 to 507 of the family's 1533-position model. The record is from RNAcentral.